This 689-nucleotide ribosomal RNA is filed under the name uncultured Enterobacteriaceae bacterium. RNAcentral describes it as "bacterial SSU rRNA". It matches the Rfam family "Bacterial small subunit ribosomal RNA", at positions 798 to 1487 of the family's 1533-position model. Lineage: Bacteria; Pseudomonadati; Pseudomonadota; Gammaproteobacteria; Enterobacterales; Enterobacteriaceae. The record is from RNAcentral.
CGCCGUAAACGAUGUCGACUUGGAGGUUGUGCCCUGAAGGCGUGGCUUCCGGAGCUAACGCGUUAAGUCGACCGCCUGGGGAGUACGGCCGCAAGGUUAAAACUCAAAUGAAUUGACGGGGGCCCGCACAAGCGGUGGAGCAUGUGGUUUAAUUCGAUGCAACGCGAAGAACCUUACCUACUCUUGACAUCCAGAGAACUUUCCAGAGAUGGAUUGGUGCCUUCGGGAACUCUGAGACAGGUGCUGCAUGGCUGUCGUCAGCUCGUGUUGUGAAAUGUUGGGUUAAGUCCCGCAACGAGCGCAACCCUUAUCCUUUGUUGCCAGCGGUCCGGCCGGGAACUCAAAGGAGACUGCCAGUGAUAAACUGGAGGAAGGUGGGGAUGACGUCAAGUCAUCAUGGCCCUUACGAGUAGGGCUACACACGUGCUACAAUGGCGCAUACAAAGAGAAGCGACCUCGCGAGAGCAAGCGGACCUCAUAAAGUGCGUCGUAGUCCGGAUUGGAGUCUGCAACUCGACUCCAUGAAGUCGGAAUCGCUAGUAAUCGUAGAUCAGAAUGCUACGGUGAAUACGUUCCCGGGCCUUGUACACACCGCCCGUCACACCAUGGGAGUGGGUUGCAAAAGAAGUAGGUAGCUUAACCUUCGGGAGGGCGCUUACCACUUUGUGAUUCAUGACUGGGGUGAAGUC